RNAcentral lists this long non-coding RNA (4085 nucleotides) under Nicotiana tabacum (common tobacco). RNAcentral describes it as "long non-coding RNA (NTAB_LNC013562)". Lineage: Eukaryota; Viridiplantae; Streptophyta; Magnoliopsida; Solanales; Solanaceae. The record is from RNAcentral.
AUUUAUAUAUAUAAUAAAUUAUAAUAACACUAAAAUUUAAAUACAUCAUAAAAUGAAACUAUUAAUAAUAUAAAAUUAUCCAUCAAGCAAAUAAUAUCCAUAAAGCAAAUGUUCUACCCCAAGUGCAUAAGUUUAGUACAUUUCAAGAGAGUAAGUUUCAAAAAUGUUGAUAACAAAAGAUUCCUAGAACAUUCAUCUAUAACAAUUCAAAAUUCAUCUCAAGUAAGGUCUAGUUCUUCAGUGCCUUCAUUAUCUAUUUUUUGAUCUACUCCACCUACAAAAGAGGAUAAAUAAAGUUAUUACCCUUCAAGAGAAUCCGGUCUAAGAAUACUCAUAGCACAAAUUACCAUGAAAAAAGAAAAGAACAUAAAAACUCCAGAACCAACAAUAGUAGUUGUAUAACAAAAAGAAACUACAACAAGAAGUUCAAGUCUUCCAAGUUGGCCAUGUUUGACCAUAACAAAUGGUGAAGAAACAUCAGCAACUGGUUCAGAUAGUGAUGAAAACAAGAACAAUGAAAUUGAAGAUCAAGUUGAGUAUGAAAUGGAUGAGAAGAAAAAUAACCUCAUGACAGAAUCAACAAUAUUUGAGAAUCUUGUUGUGAUUCUUUUGGUUAUCACAACAGCAGCAGUGUGAGACGACCUAUGUUGACGAGUUGGAUGACUAUGCCUCAACUCAUUUUAAUGAACGUAUCGACAUCAUGCAACUAACAGUAGGGGAGAGGUUCACUUGGUUUCAACGACCAAGUCAAUUGAAUUUUUGUAGAAAUUCAAAUAGCUAAUAUAUAAAGCCCAAGGACCAUGUUAGGCUGUGUUCCCACAUCACAUUUGAAUCUUGUCCUCUUACCACGACUAUCCCACCACAUUAGAUUUUUUUGCUUUCUGUCCUUUCAAUAAUUGAAUCAAGAAAACAAAAACCAUGGCCAUUGAUAAGAUCUCUGAAGCUCCAAGUUUAGCCACAAGUCCAAGAAUCUCUUUUUCCCAUAAUCUUUGCCACAAAGAUAUUGCUGCUACUACUACUGCCAAUAAUGAUUUUAAUUCUGACUUCGAUUUAUGUAUUAGCAAUAGCACAGAUACAGAAACUUUGAAUACUUGGAAUCAACAAAAGUAGCAGAUCAUAUAUGACAUAGAUCUUACAGUAUAUCCUUCUCAUUUUUCAUAUAAAAGGUUUCACAUAGAAAGAAUUGAAUCCCGAAAAAAAUUCCAUCAUUUAGUACUACUAGGUGUGCACGUUGAGUAGAAAGUUCUUUAAAGGGACAUUUAUCACAGUUGACCAUAGAUGCAGCUUUAAACAACAUUGAUAUAUCCUAAUGAAAACAAAAAUAAUCAUGUUAGCUGGAAUCCCAGGAAGGCCACACAUUUAACAACCGUGUUAGCUGGAAUUUCUCCUCCUUUACCAAAAGAAACCACUGAAAUAUCUAAGACUCACAUACAGAGUUGGGUAAGAAGGAAACCAUAGAAAAUCCUUUAGGAAAAUUCCAUAGACUGCAAAGACGUAGCCAAAAGAAGCAGGAGAUAACUAAGCCGGCCAUCAAUUUUCAACAAAUGACCAAGAAUCUAAAGAAGACAGUAUAUAGCAUAAAAAUCAACCAACACAAAAAAGGAGAACUAAAUCAGAAGGUUCUACUAGAAAAACUAUCACAACUUCUCAUAUUCUCUUGUCUUUAAAUUUUGGUACCCAAAUGAUUAAUAUUGCUUCUGCAGGGCAAUCUUAUUCCUCAAGAAAAUAUAGAACUCUAUAAAAAGGUAAACCUCAUUCGACAAGAGAAUACAAAAUUGAAGAAAAAGGUAUUAAUUUAGAGAGUAUUGCCUCCAAUUGCAGUUUGACCAUGUACCUUAAAAUUUUGAUUUUAUCCCACAAGCAUAGAUAUCCUCUCUUUUUUAUGGGUAGCAUAGAUAUCCCUCACCUUAAUCUAAAAGGGAAGUUACCUAUUCCAAAUUUCUAAGCAAGGAUGCAGAAGUGAACCAAAUGGGGUGUCCAGGCCACACAUGUAAUCAGCAAUGGAUAUGAUGUACAUGCACCAAUCCAUCUCCAGCUAAACCCUGAGGAUACAAAAGCAAGAACAUGUGACAUGGCAACAGUAAAGGGGAACAAAGCAUCUGAAGCCGAAAAUAUUAAAUAAAAUAAGAACUAAGACAGAAACAGAACACUCCAAACAGUUAAUUUUAUUCAUACUUGAAUGAACCCUUGUUUACAGAAGUUUCCCCGCUGACAAUGAUGUUUUUAUCUUUUAGCAAUUCACCAAUCUCAAAAUUUACACGAAAGUACGUCAAAUAAGGCAAAAACUUAUAUAGGUGCAAUUCUUGUAUAAGACUCUAAUAAUAAUAAGAAACCACAUGAUCUGCUCCAGUGAGAAGGAAUUCCAAGAGAGUUCCAGUUGGCAACAAAUAUCUAUGUUAUGGAACUUGCAACAAAUAAGUUAAAAAGAAAGAGAAUGGAAAAACUACUUCCUUGUAGAUUUGCCCCAAUAUUAUAGGAUAAUCAUUUUUAAAAAUAUUGCUAUCCCCUUUAAUAAAAAAUAGUUAAGUGUGGGCAAGAGAAUGACUUAUAACAAACUUUCUUGGUCUUUGAGCUCUGAUUUUGUUGGUAAUUAUAAUACAACCGACAUUUCUUUACUGCUUUCAUAUUUUUUGUCAAGAUUCAGGGUGUUUCCCUUCCAUAAAAGCUAUAAAUAUUCUUUUGCACUACUUUAUUCUUGAUAAAAAUGAAAAGAACUAACUACAUAAAUAUAUUGGUCAGUGUUUGAAGAAGACUAGUUGGUGUAAGCCUAUGAAUUUUUCUGUGAAAAAAAGUUGGAUUACCAUGAUUCCUUGAAGUUCCUCAAAGUUCGAUUGUAAAACAGGUAAAGCCUCCAUUACUGUGAGCUUUUAAGAAUCUCUACUCUUCUAUACUAAUUUACUACUAUAAGUUAAACACAUAGAUGGUUGUAUUUAUACUUUAUGUAGUUAUGUGUCUGAUUAUACAAUAUUUCCUGCUUUCUGUUUUCCUAGUAUCAAAUAUUGGAACAAUUAACUCUAAAUACAGAAUUUACUCUACCAGCACACCGGGAUAAUGAUAUAAAUGUGAAUCCUCUGAACCCUGUUAAAUUCGAAAGUCAGACAAAAUAUACUAAUUCAUCACACACCUUUUUAUGUCAGCCAAUUCAGACUAAGAAGAGCAGUAAUUUUAACUCCAGACAUGACUCUACAGUAGAAUAAACUUUGAAAGAGCAGAAACUAACAAUAAGCUUAGACAUGUUUCUACCAUCUCCAUUAGAAUCUACCUAUAGAGAAAAGUAGUAAUAGUAUAUAGCAGAAGACUAAUCUUGACUAAUCUUCUCUGCAUAAGAGGCUAGAUAUUGUAGAGUUGUUCACAUAUCACUUAUCAUUGACAACUUGUGGUAUCAAUAAGAAAGGAAACUUCAGAAUUCGAAAUCAAAUAAUGCCCAUAUUACAUUUCUGAUGUAACAUCACAUAAUCUCUUUCUGAUGGUGACAAAAGAAGAUAGAUGAAGAAACUUGAAAGUUGCAGAAAUCUUAAUUAUGAUUAAAAAUGUCCAAAUUAAAUACUUGUACUAAUUUUUUAUAGGACAAAUCACAGUAUCUUUAUAACUCACAUUUUGUCAACUUUCAAGAAAGCUAAACUCCAUAUAGAUAACACAACCCCUCUUUACUAGUAAUUAACAUCACUCCAAAAUUUCACAUUUGAGUUGCAAGACCUCAAAUUAAAUAAAUUGAGACAAAAGAAGUGAUUUUCGACAAUUAUAGAGCUCAACUUCAUUUUCUAUGAAACACUAAAAAUGGAAAACAGAAGGCCCAGCGGCGCACAGGCAGUGAGGAAAACAGAAGGCAUGACUGAGAUCUUAAAGAAAAUAUACAAAAAUAGUAGAAUAAAGUUGGAAUCGUGAUGAAAAAUGUAGCUUAUCGGUGCCGCCGAUGGUGGGUUGUCUUCCUCGUAAUCUCCGGCGAACUGAUGAAGGUUUUUUGGGAGAGAGAUAUUGAAACUUUUUGUGAUAAGGCGUUUGUCUUCCUCGUAAUCUCCGGUGUGUGUAUUAUUAUUAGGUUUUAUUAUUUUAUUAAAUAUUAAAUAUAAAAUAUAAUAGAAGCG